RNAcentral lists this transfer RNA (87 nucleotides) under Candidatus Magasanikiibacteriota bacterium. RNAcentral describes it as "tRNA-Leu". It matches the Rfam family "tRNA". Rfam says of the family: Transfer RNA (tRNA) molecules are approximately 80 nucleotides in length. Their secondary structure includes four short double-helical elements and three loops (D, anti-codon, and T loops). Lineage: Bacteria; Candidatus Magasanikiibacteriota. The record is from RNAcentral. RNAcentral also lists the same sequence under 2 other names.
GCUGGGAUGGCGAAAUUGGCAGACGCACUAGGCUUAGGACCUAGCGACCGCAAGGUUAUGAGGGUUCAAGUCCCUCUCCCAGCACCA